UGGGACGUAGCCAAGGGGUAAGGCAACGGGCUUUGGACCCGUCAUCGUUGGUUCGAAUCCAGCCGUCCCAGCCA
This 74-nucleotide transfer RNA is filed under the name Clostridia bacterium. RNAcentral's name for it is "tRNA-Gln". It matches the Rfam family "tRNA". Rfam says of the family: Transfer RNA (tRNA) molecules are approximately 80 nucleotides in length. The record is from RNAcentral. Lineage: Bacteria; Bacillati; Bacillota; Clostridia.